AAGAAAAUAUUUUAAUUUUAGAAUGUUUCAUUGUUAAUGAAAAGGUUUUUUCUUU
This 55-nucleotide transfer RNA is filed under the name Radopholus similis. RNAcentral's name for it is "transfer RNA-Asn". The record is from RNAcentral. Lineage: Eukaryota; Metazoa; Nematoda; Chromadorea; Rhabditida; Pratylenchidae.